GUCGACGGAAGUCGUUAUGAUGAUUUCAACACUGACAGAGAACUUGUUCAAAGAAAGUAGAGAUUGACUUAUAACAAUGGCUUUAGUGGCGGACUGGUGAGUAACACGUGAGCAACCUGCCUAUCAGAGGGGAAUAACAGUGAGAAAUCAUUGCUAAUACCGCAUAUGCCAUAAAUAUCACAUGAUGAAAGUGGGAAAGGAGUAAUCCGCUGAUAGAUGGGCUCGCGUCUGAUUAGAUAGUUGGUGGGGUAACGGCCUACCAAGUCGACGAUCAGUAGCCGGACUGAGAGGUUGAACGGCCACAUUGGGACUGAGAUACGGCCCAGACUCCUACGGGAGGCAGCAGUCGGGAAUAUUGCGCAAUGGAGGAAACUCUGACGCAGUGACGCCGCGUAUAGGAAGAAGGUUUUCGGAUUGUAAACUAUUGUCGUUAGGGAAGAUACAAGACAGUACCUAAGGAGGAAGCUCCGGCUAACUACGUGCCAGCAGCCGCGGUAAUACGUAGGGAGCAAGCGUUAUCCGGAUUUAUUGGGUGUAAAGGGUGCGUAGACGGGAAAGCAAGUUAGUUGUGAAAUCCCUCGGCUUAACUGAGGAACUGCAACUAAAACUACUUUUCUUGAGUGUUGGAGAGGAAAGUGGAAUUCCUAGUGUAGCGGUGAAAUGCGUAGAUAUUAGGAGGAACACCGGUGGC
Molecule: ribosomal RNA, 691 nt
Filed under: uncultured bacterium
Lineage: Bacteria
Description: bacterial SSU rRNA
Rfam family: Bacterial small subunit ribosomal RNA
Source: RNAcentral